Molecule: long non-coding RNA, 1017 nt
Filed under: Brassica napus (rape)
Lineage: Eukaryota; Viridiplantae; Streptophyta; Magnoliopsida; Brassicales; Brassicaceae
Description: long non-coding RNA (BNAP_LNC024110)
Source: RNAcentral
CUGAGCUUUCUCUCUCAGUCGAUCUUAUGGUUUGUUCUAGAGAGAGAAAAUGGCUUAAAACCGAUACAAUUUUUGAGUAUGUGAGGUGAGUGUGGAAGGCUUUUGCGUGGCUUGAUCCUUGCUCUAGGAUCGGUUGUGGAGUGCUAGGAGUGGUGGUAAGACCUUAGUUGAUCGUUUGUAGGUUCCCUUUUCCCUCUUAGCCUUUAGCCUCUCUUUGAUCGGUUUUAGUGUUAACCUUAGGUCUUUUGCUUUUGGAGCUGUUGUGCGGUUUGUGAAGUUUUAGGUGGGUUUCCCUGGUUGUGUUGUGUGUUCUAACCGUGUGUGUGUGCAGGUGGAGGAGCAUGAAACGUUUUAGUUCUUGUGAUUGAACCACAUUUGUGGCUAUGAUUGUUUGUGUGUGUGUGUGUGUGGGAGAUUGAUAGUCCCCAUACUUGAGUGUUUACUUUCUUGCAUGCAUUAGUUGUAUUUGUGCAUUGCAUGUCUUGUGGUGGUGAACAUAUUCAUCUAGGGGUGAUGAUAUGUUAGACAUGCAUUGUGUUGUUAGGUCGUUAGUUGCAUGCAUGCAUUCGUUUGAUUAGUUGUAGCUUAUGAGUUGUUGUUGUGAAGCAUGAAGAUUUGAGUGUAACUCUCUCAUGUAGUUCAUAUGCUCAUGCAUUGUAGUGUAGUUUGGGGUUGCAAAGAGAUUUGAGUGAGACUCUCUCUUUUGCAGGGUAGUUGUUGUUUUGUUUUGGGAACUCACUGAGUGAUUUCGAUUACUCAUUCCCUCUUCUACUAUGCAGGUAACCUUAGGGGAUUGGGCGUUUGCGGGGUGCGGAGGACGAGUCCAGGCGUAGAUUUUCGUUGUUGUUUGCAAGGCGCAAGAUGUUAAUGUUUUCAUUCGUUUUGUUUUUCAUGGGUAACCGUUGACUCGUUUGUUUUUAUUUUCUGCUGCGUUUAUCUUUAAGGACUUUAGUCGAGUUCCCGACUGUAAAAUAAAUAAAAUUAUGUUUGUUUUAAUAAAAUCUCCGUAGAACGCUG